AGCGCAGGUGGUUGUAUAAGUCUGAAGUAAAAGGCAGUGGCUCAACCAUUGUGUGCUUUGGAAACUGUACAACUUGAGUGCAGAAGGGGAGAGUGGAAUUCCUAGUGUAGCGGUGAAAUGCGUAGAUAUUAGGAGGAACACCAGUGGCGAAGGCGGCUUACUGGUCCAUUAUUGACGCUGAGGCUGAAAGCGUGGGGAGCAAACA
Molecule: ribosomal RNA, 205 nt
Filed under: uncultured bacterium
Lineage: Bacteria
Description: partial 16S ribosomal RNA
Rfam family: Bacterial small subunit ribosomal RNA
Source: RNAcentral